GUCCACGCCGUAAACGGUGGGCACUAGGUGUGGGGGACAUUCCACGUUCUCCGUGCCGAAGCUAACGCAUUAAGUGCCCCGCCUGGGGAGUACGGCCGCAAGGCUAAAACUCAAAGGAAUUGACGGGGGCCCGCACAAGCGGCGGAGCAUGCGGAUUAAUUCGAUGCAACGCGAAGAACCUUACCUGGGUUUGACAUAUACCGGAAAGCUGCAGAGAUGUAGCCCCCGCAAGGUCGGUAUACAGGUGGUGCAUGGCUGUCGU
Molecule: ribosomal RNA, 262 nt
Filed under: uncultured bacterium
Lineage: Bacteria
Description: partial 16S ribosomal RNA
Rfam family: Bacterial small subunit ribosomal RNA
Source: RNAcentral